GGGGCUGACAUUAGCUUUCGACAGAUGGACAUUAACAGACUACUUUGCAAACCGACCACAGACGUAAACUGUAUUUUAAUUGCAAACCCAAUUAAAAAAGCUUUUGCAAGCCUGAAGUCAGCUUUUGCUGUACCUCAACUUGCAUUUGCGCCAGCUUACCAAGCGUAAGCCAUCGCCUCGUCUCAGGUGACAUAGAGCGGCUCGGCGGUGUUAUAUUCAUGUCACUUACGCCUUCAUAGGGAAGCAGCUAUGAUCGCGGACAACGCACUGCGCGCUGAUUGAUUCAUCUUUGUUUAUUCCUAAGAAUCAUAAUGCGUUACAAAACCUGGAAUAAACUAUGUUUGUAGACGAGUAGUUCGUUACCAUUUGGACGCGGGUGCGAUACCCGCCAGCUCCACCA
This 400-nucleotide transfer-messenger RNA is filed under the name Candidatus Saccharimonadota bacterium. It matches the Rfam family "transfer-messenger RNA". Rfam says of the family: Bacterial tmRNA, also known as 10Sa RNA or SsrA, is named for its dual tRNA and mRNA-like properties. The record is from RNAcentral. Lineage: Bacteria; Candidatus Saccharimonadota.